Callithrix jacchus (white-tufted-ear marmoset) is the source of this 9060-nucleotide long non-coding RNA. RefSeq lists it as uncharacterized. NCBI's taxonomy places the organism in Eukaryota, Metazoa, Chordata, Mammalia, Primates, Cebidae. The record is from RefSeq and is a predicted model, not a curated record.
UGUCCUUUGUGGUCUUUGUAGCACUCUUAUAAAUUGAUAAAUCAGCUGCUGUUACUGUUAUUCCUCAUUUUAUGGAUGAGAAAACAAAAGCACUGAAAAUUUAAGUGGUUUAUCCAGUGUCACACAACUAGUGAGUAGUGGCAUGCCUCCUGAUUCACUUAUUUCUAAAUCUUAUGAGAUUUUCCCUUCUCUUGAGUGGAUUUUGAGCUCUUUGAAACAAGCUGCCCAUCCGACUUAUUCUGCUGUGCUUGGAACAUAGCAGGUGCUCAAUAUGUACUUGUAAAAUAGAAUCAUCUAAACUGUAAUGGAAUUUAAAGUGUCAGCCUUUCUUUGUAAAGAAUUUUACUAUUCAAAUACCAUUUUAUCAAUCUAAUAGAAUUAUGCUGUGACCUUGAAUAUACUGAAAUUGCAUUUUAAAGUCCUAUAAAUAAAGCAAAAGAGAGUUGUCUUGGGAAACAUAACAAAAAGGCAAAGGAUGAGUAUUUUAUUAAUAUAUUUAAUUCCUUUCUAUCAGUUAUCUAUUGCUGCAUGACAAAUUGCCCUAAAAUUUGGCAGCUUACAAAAACAAACAUUUCUUCUCUCAUAGUUUCUGUGAAUCAGGAAUAUUGGUGCAGCUUAGCUGGAUCCUCAGUUUCCUGAUCUCUCAGAAGGCUGUGACCAAUGUACAGGCUGGGGCUACAAUCAUCUCUCAGCUGGAAUGGGGUGGGAUACCUUGAAAGCUCACCCACGUGGCUGCAGGCAGGUCUCAGGUUCUAGAUGACUAUUGCAUGGAGAUGUCAGUUUUUGUGGGGUUGUUUUUUGUUUUCUGUUUUUCUCACAUGGCCCUCUCCAUUAAACUGAUCAAACAAGGUAACUGGUCACUUUUAGAGCAGGUGAGCCAGAGAGAGCAAGAAAGGGCAUGCAAGACAAAAACCACAGGUUGUUUUUUUUUUUUUUUUAAUUAAUCUCAGAAGUGAUAUCUCAUCGCUCUAGCAUUCUGUUCAUUGGAAGAGAGUCACUAGUUCCAGCCUACACUCAAGAGGAAGGGAUUGCACCUCCCUAGUAUUCAAUACUAGGAGGAUAUUAGGAAGUUUUAGUCAUCUGGGCCCUCCGAAUGCUGCCUACCUUAUUCAUGUUAAAUAUUAUUGUUCAACCACAGUAAACUGAAAGAAAUAAAAUUGGAACAGAUGCACCUCCACUGUGUCCAGAGUUUUUAAGGGAAAAGCCACCAAAAUUAAGCUCAAACUGGCUUUAGCAAAAAAAAAAAGUAAUUUAUUUUUGUAUUUCACAAAAAAGAGUCUUGGUGUUAUCAUGGGAGUAGGUGCAGCAGAAUUCCGUUCUCCAUUGGCACUCAACUUUGCCUUCUAAAUAGUUUUGAAUGGAUUUUAUCAAUCUUUCCUGUGCCCCAUGACCACCCCUAUGGCAGGGUGGCAUGAAAUACUUCAGCUGACCAAUCCUGGGUCACUUUCCCACCCCGGGAACCCAGAGAAAGUAACAGAAGCCAAAAUGUAAAUCCUAUGAAUUAUUGUUGAAGGGUGUAAAGUCUGUGUCUAGAUUCAUUUUUUUUACCUGUGGAUGUCCAGUUGUUCCAGCAUUGUUUGUUGAAAAAGACUAUUUUUACCCCAUCAUAUUUCCUUGUCCUUUUGCUAGACAUCAGUUGACUAUGACUCUGUUUCUGAACUCUGUUCUGUUUCAUUAUUUGUCUAUUCUUUUGCUAGUACCACACUAUCUUAUUAAAGCUUUAUAUUAAAUCUAAAAAAUAAAAUAUGAACUUGGAGUGGUGGAAAGAAACCUUGAGGUUCUGUGACUACAGUAAGGCCCCUUGGCUGAUGAUAGACACAUCACUAAGGCCCACAGCACCCAUCCGUUACUCUUUAAGCCCCUACCUGUUCUAACUCAUGCAGUUUACUUUUGGGGGGUAUCUUAGUUCAUUCAGGCUGCUGUAACUAAAUACCAUAGACUGGGUACCUUAUAAACAACAGAAAUGUAUUUCUCGUAGUUCUGGAGCUUGGGAAUUCCAAGAUCAAGGCAUGGGUAGAUUCAGUGUUUGAUGAUGGCCUGUUGCUCAUAGAUGGUGACUUUUAGCUGUGUCCUUACGUGGCGGAAGGAACAAGGCAACUCUCUGGGAUCUCUUUUAAAAGGAUGCUAAUCCCAUCUGUGAAGCUCUUCCCUGCCCUCAUGAUCUAAUCACCUCCCCAAGGCUUCACCUCUUAAUACCAUCAUCACCUUGGGGUUUAGGAUUUCAGCAUAUGAAUUUGCAGGAGAGAGGGUUGGUGGAAGACACGGACAUUCAGAUCAUAGCACUGGGGGACUUACAGAUGUACAGGAUAACCUAUCUUGUUUUGGUGGCAGAAAUGGGAAGAGAAUUCUUCUUAAUGAAAGAAUUUAUGCUAAAUAUAGUUUAAAAUCAACAGCAAAAGCCAAACCACAGUUUUGCAAUACAAGUGUGUCUUCUGGAAGCAAAGUGUUUCCUAAACCUUCUGUGUACCCUUUAAUUGUUAGUAGAGCACAUCCCCAGGACUGAAUUCAGUUCAUUUGUCUGGAACUUUAGAAUGAAAACAAAGCCUUAUUACUGUGCUGACUUACAUAAAACACAGGUGUGUGUGCAUAGAUAGUAAUUGGGCUCAGCUGGGCCAUUUAGGGGUCAAAUACUAGGUAACCAAGGUUACUUGUGCGUAAAAUUAAACCUCAUAAGCUGUAGGCACAGCUUUAUAGCAGCUGGCUUGUUUUGUUUUGGAUUUCUUCUCCUCUCUUUCCAGCAACCACUCCAUACCCCCACUUUCAGGUAUUGAAAAGAUUAGACCUGAGGGUCAGCUUUGGCUCUUUUUCAGAGAGAAAACAGAAUUGUUACAUGGUUCUUAAGAUUAAAUUAUGUUGUAUGAGGUCAAUGGCAAAAGCAAAGAUCAUGUGUUAAGCCUUAGUGCUAUUUUCUACCCUGUGGUCCCAUAUAAACUGGGUGUUGCUCAAGGCUCCUUCUCUUGAUAAUGAUUAUUGUCUUCUCCUCUUCCUAGUCCUGUGAGGACCCUUGGGAGUCACUAUGUCUGGAGAGCCAAUAGACCAAGGCUCCCAUCAUUCUCCUUCCAGCGCAGCACCUCCCAGGCAGGGUAUUUGGUGCUCCAGCAACAUUCACCUUUGAGUGCUCACCAGUAGAUACCGGCUAAAACACUGAGGCUGCUAGGAAAAGCAGAACGUGGUCAAUGUCUGAGGAUGAGACAGGAGAUACAUGAUUUGGGUCAGGGAGGAGGAGAAAGCAUCAGCCUAAUUUGUCUCAAGUUGAACGGCCAUGAAGCUGAACUUGCCUCCUGAAGCUGUCCCCAGCCCUGCUGCUGUCUUAUAGGUUGCUGUAAGACACGGUACUGUUCUGUCCAGGUCUUCCCCACCAACAAAGGUCUAUGGUCUCCAUGCAGCUCAUGUGUGGGGCCACUGUGCCAAUCCACAUUCUUUUCCUCUAUCCAACAAUAUGUAUUGAUUUUUAUUUUACAAAAUGUGGUUGUCCUGUCCAUCCACUGGAAUGGAUUUUGGUUUUCUAACCCCCAAUUCCAAAUUCUUAGUUGUCUCCUUCUCUUCAAUCCUUAUUCCAUUCAAAAAACUACAAUUUCAAUACAAAACAGUGUCAUUUGCCAAACCAAAUUGCUUUCUUUUUAUUUUUAAUUUUUUUGAGACACGGUCUUGCUUUGUCAUCCAGGCUAGAGUGCAGUAGUGUAGUCAUAGCUCACUGUAGCCUCCAUCUCCUGGGCUUGAGCAAUCCUCCCACCUCAACCUCCUGAGUAGCUGGGACUAUUGGUGCAUGCCACCAUGCCUGGUUAAUUUUUUAAUAUUUUUGUAGAGAUGAAGUCUCUCUAUUUUCCCUGGGCUGGUAUCAAACUCCUGGCCUCGAGCAAUCCUCCCACCUCAGCCUCCAAAAGUGCUGAGAUUAUAGGUGAGAGCCACCAUGCUUAACCCUGCUUUCGUUUUAAAAGUCACUUAAAUGUGUGACUGUCGGAUAAUCCAGGUUGUAAUAAUGAAGUUUUUGUUUUGUUUUGCUUUUGUUUUUGCUUAUUAACUCAAAUGAAUCUCUAAAUGAUGGAAUUUCAGGCAGAAUAAGAGAGAAUUUUGGAUUGGGUCACUUUACUACAUUUUGCUAAGUAUAUUCUACUUAAAUAAAAGGACAUGUUUUCAUAUAGGGAACUUGCAGCCUCUCUUACCAGAAAUAUUUCCAUCUCCUUAACCUUUUUCUUUUUGAGACAGGGUCUUGCUGUGCUGUGCUGACCAGGCUGGAGUGCAGUGGCACAAUCACAGCUCACUACAGUCUCCACAUCCUGGGCUGAAGUGAGCCUCCCCCUCAGCCUUGCAAGUAGCUGGGAUUAUAGGAAUAUGCCACCAUAUCCAGCUAAUUUUUUUUUUUUUGUAUUCGGAAGAGACAGGUUUCACCAUGUUGCCCAGGCUGGUCUUGAACUCCUGAGUUCAAGUGGUCUGCCCAUCUUGGCCUCCCAAAAUACUGGGAUUACAGGCAUGAGCCAUUGUGCCUGUCCCUCAACAUUUUUUCUUCAACCAGCUCUUAACUUUUUUCUACUUCCUUCUUAUAUCCACCUUUUUGUUAGGAGUUCAAGGCCUAUGCUGACUUAAUAAAAUAUUAUAAAGUACAAGUCAGUAGAGUUAGGAAACUCAUUUAAAAAUCAGCUUUCAAAUGUGAUAAGAAAGAGAGCCAGAAUACAGAAGGUAGUUGUCCUAUUAGAAGGGCUUCCUACUUGAAAGUAGAACAGGUAGCUGGUCAGACCUCAUGGGCAACAUGUUUUUUGCUUCAGGGAGAUGUGGACAAACAGGAGGACUGCCAGAGAAGAACGACUAGACAUAUGAAAGGUCCAUAUGGCCUGACGGAAAGAACAGAAGGUGCCUAUUCUGGUCAAGACAAGACUUCACAGAAAAAGUAACAGAGAGGAGGCUGGAGCACUUUUAGGUAUAAGUGGUUACCUAAACUCUGUUUACAAUACCUUAUCUUAAACAUCCACGGCUGCUUAAGAAGAAAACUGUAAAAUUGCUGUAUUUGCCAUGAGUCUUUAACCCUACUUAUGAAUGUUGUCAAGAACAUUGCCAAGGAAAUAAAGAUGCAUCAUUAAAGCAUGUCAUGUUUGCAAGGUCAUCUCUGAGUGUUGAUUAACUCCUAGCCCUCUAAGCACAGCUACUUCACUUAAAGGUUGCUGCCAAGAGGAAAAUGCCGGUGCUGGUUAACCGUUGUCAAAUGGAUGUAUUUUUCUCAGAUAGGAAUAAAUGAGAACUGAACUGUGACACAGAAAUAGACUAUGCACUUGUUUUUUUCCAUGACAUAAUAAUCAAGAAACAAUGUGGUCGAGCAUGGCGGCUCACACCUGUAAUCCAAGCACUUUGGGAAGCUGAGGCGGGCUGAUCACAUGAGGCCAGGAGUUCUACAUCAGCCUGGCCAACAUGGUAAAACACAAAUCUCUACUGAAAAAGUACAAAAAGUAGCCAGGUGUGGUAACGCAUGCCUGUAAUCCUAGCUACUCGGCAGGCUUCAGAAUGAGAAUCACUUGAACCCAGGAGGCAGAGGUUGCAGUGGGUCAAGAUUAUGCCACUGCACUCCAGCCUGGGUGACAGAGUGUCUCAAAGAAAAAAAAAAAAAGAAGAAAAAAGAAACAAUGUAUAUUUACUUAUUUGUCCUUCAGUUGAGAAAUAUGGCAAUGCACUAUUAAUCCAAGGAAGCAGUAAUGCACCUUGGUUAAAAUGUCAGACUCCAGAGGGAGAAAUGAUCAGAAUCCUGGCAUAACUGAUUUUUAACUUUGUCAAAGUAUAUUAACUUCUCUAAGCAUCUUCAGUUUCCCCCUCUGUAAAAUGGGGAUAACUUAUGCCUGUUGUCUCUCAUGGAGAUGAGAUGAGAGUGAUAGGAAACCUUUUUUUUAAUUGCAUUUUAGGUUUGGGGGUACAUGUGCAGAACAUGCAAGAUAGUUGCAUAGGUACACACAUGGCAGUGUGUUUUGCUGCCUUCCUCCCCUUCACCCACAUUUGGCAUUUCUCCCCAGGCUAUCCCUCCCCAGCUCCCCCCACCGCUGUCCCUCCCCUAUUCCCCCCAAUAGACCCCAGUGUGUAGUACUCCCUUCCCCAUGUCCAUGUGUUCUCAUUUUUCAUCACCCGCCUAUGAGUGAGAAUAUGUGGUAUUUCAUUUUCUGUUCCUGUGUCAGUUUGCUGAGAAUGAUGUUCUCCAGAUUCAUCCAUGUUCCUACAAAGGACACGAACUCAUCAUUUUUGAUUGCUGCAUAAUAUUCCAUGGUAUAUAUGUGCCACAUUUUCCCAGUCCAGUCUAUCAUCGUUGGGCAUUUGGGUUGGUUCCAGGUCUUUGCUAUUGUAAACAGUGCUGCAAUGAACAUUCGUGUGCAUGUGUCCUUAUAGUAGAACGAUUUAUAGUCCUUUGGAUAUAUACCCAGUAAUGGGAUUGCUGGGUCAAAUGGAAUUUCUAUGUCUAGGUCCUUGAGGAAUCACCACACUGUCUUCCACAAUGGUUGAUCUAAUUUACACUCCCACCAACAGUGUAAAAGUGUUCCUAUUUCUCUACAUCCUCUCCAGCAUCUGUUGUCUCCAGAUUUUUUAAUGAUCACCAUUCUAACUGGCGUGAGAUGGUAUCUCAAUGUGAUUUUGAUUUGCAUCUCUCUAAUGACCAGUGAUGAUGAGCAUUUUUUCAUAUGUUUGUUGGUGUCAUGUAUGUCUUCUUUUGUAAAGUGUCUGUUCAUAUCCUUUGCCCAUUUUUGAAUGGGCUUGUUUGUUUUUUUCCUGUAAAUCUGUUUUAGUUCUUUGUAAAUUCUGGAUAUCAGCCCUUUGUCAGAUGGGUAAACUGCAAAAAUUUUUUCCCAUUCUGUUGAUUGCCAAUUCACUCUAGUGACUGUUUCUUUUGCCAUGCAGAAGCUGUGGAGUUUGAUUAGGAAAACUCUUGUGGCAGAGAUUGUUACAUAGCAAGCAGUAACUACCAUUAUAAAUAGAAAAAAGUUGUUCAUGAGUCAAGAGUAUGGGGUUCUGAUCCCAGCUUUGUCACUCACUAGCUAUGCACUUUGGGCUAUCAUAUCAGUUCUCUGGAUCUUAGUUUCCAUAACUAGAAAGUGAAAGACAUUGAUUGCAUGAUCUUGAAGAUUACUUCUAACUCUAAAAUACUAUUCUGGUUAGUAGAGGCAAUUAAAAACUCUAACAAAAAGCCUCCUUCAUUUUGAAUUGGUAGUUAAUUGUUUCAGUCUUUACUUAAACAUUCAGGGAAAGACCUUUUGUUUUUCACCACUUCUAUUUACCCAGGAACUUCAUUGCCUCCAGUUACAGAGAAAGGUGUUAAAAUUAGCAACCACUUGCUGCAGUGUGAACACUAACUACUCCUAAUUGCUUUCUUUAAGAUUGCUUUCUGUUAAUGGGGAGGGCUUGGAAAUCCGGUCUCAAUCCAAAUUCCUAAUGUCUUUAUCAAACACAAACCCAUUCAUUUCUAUGUAGGAUUUUUACUGAAGUCUAACAUUCAUAUAAAAAGUGCACAGAUUCCAAAUCUACAACUUAAUAAUUUUUUUCUUUUUUUGAAACAGAGUCUUGCUCUGUCACCCAGGCUGGAAUGUAGUGGCACGAUCGCAGCUCACUGCCACCUUCGCCUCCUGGGUUCAAGCGAUUCUCCAGCCUCCUGAGUAGCUGGGACUACAGGUGCUUGCCACCAUACCCUGCUAAUUUUUGCAUUUUUAGUAGAGACAGAGUUUCACUAUAUUGGCCAGCUGGUAUCGAAUUCCUGACCUUGUGAUCUGCCCACCUUAGCCUCCCAAAGUGCUGGGAUUACAGGCAUGAGCCACCAUGCCCAGCCAGUGAAUUUUUAAGAAGUGAACAUAACAUGUACCAGUAUCCAGAUCAAGAAGUAGAACAUUAGCCGGCACCUCAAAAUUCCCCUUAUGCCUCUCUGUCUAGUCAGUAAUUCCUGUCCAAGGUUAACCACCAUCCUGAUCCGAAAUCUAAUGUCACAGAUACUGUUGCAUGUUUUUGACCUUUAUGGAAAUGAAAUCACCACAUGGUUUAGUUGUCAUUUUCAUUUGUAAAUUUUGGAGUGGAAUUGCUGGAUCAUAUAACACCUGCAUAUGUUCAGCUUUAAUAGAUAUUACCAAUGUAUACACCCUUCCCCUACCCCAGUAAGUCAAUGAGAGUUUCAUUUCUGAUUAUCUUUUUUAAAACCUGCACCCUUUUUCGUGCAGCCUCCUAUUUUGAUUUAGGUUUUCAGCUUUCUCCCCAAUACCUGUAUCUUCUACCUCAGCGAUGAUUCACUUCAGUUUGCCUUGGAUAGACCCUGGAUAUACCAAAUUCAUACCUGUUGUUCUUGCAUGAUUAUUAUUAGUGCUCCUUUCAUUUUCAAUUUGUCCUAGGUUAGAGAGAGAUGAAAAAAAAAUCCAAAAUUAGAUUGUCGAGAUGUUUGCAGAACCCUAUCAGUGUAAUAAGAAAACGUUGAGGCGGCCAGGCGCGGUGGCUCAAGCCUGUAAUCCCAGCACUUUGGAAGGCCGAGGCGGGUGAAUCACGAGGUCAAGAGACCGAGACCAUCCUGGUCAACAUGGUGAAACCCCGUCUCUACUAAAAAUACAAAAAAUUAGCUGGGCAUGGUGGUGCAUGCCUGUAAUCCCAGCUACUCAGCAGGCUGAGGCAGGAGAAUUGCCUGAACCCAGGAGGCGGAGGUUGCAGUGGGCCGAGAUCGCGCCUUUGCACUCCAACCUGGGUAACAAGAGUGAAACUCCGUCUCAAAGAAAAGAAAGAAAAAAGAAAAGAAAACGUUGAGGCUGAGCGCGGUGGUUCAUACCUGUAAUCCUAGCACUUUGGGAGGCUGAGGUGGGCGGAUCACAAGGUCAGGAGAUCCAGACCAUCCUAGCCAACAUGGUGAAACCCCGUCUCUACUAAAAAUGCAAAAAAUUAGCUGAGCGUGGUGGCAGACACCUGUAAUCCCAGCUAUUCAGGAGGCUGAGACAGGAGAAUUGGUUGAAUCCAGGAGGUGGAGGUUACAGCGAGCUGAGUCGAGAUUGUGCCACUGCACUCCAGCCUGGUGACAGAGGUGAGACUCUGUCUCAAAAAAAAAAAAAAAAAAAAAAAGAAAGAAAA